UGGGGAAUUUUGGACAAUGGGGGAAACCCUGAUCCAGCCACCCCGCGUGUGCGAUGAAGGCCUUCGGGUUGUAAAGCACUUUUGGCAGGAAAGAAACGUCGCGGGUUAAUACCCCGCGAAACUGACGGUACCUGCAGAAUAAGCACCGGCUAACUACGUGCCAGCAGCCGCGGUAAUACGUAGGGUGCAAGCGUUAAUCGGAAUUACUGGGCGUAAAGCGUGCGCAGGCGGUUCGGAAAGAAAGAUGUGAAAUCCCAGAGCUUAACUUUGGAACUGCAUUUUUAACUACCGGGCUAGAGUGUGUCAGAGGGAGGUGGAAUUCCGCGUGUAGCAGUGAAAUGCGUAGAUAUGCGGAGGAACACCGAUGGCGAAGGCAGCCUCCUGGGAUAACACUGACGCUCAUGCACGAAAGCGUGGGGAGCAAACAGGAUUAGAUACCCUGGUAGUCCACGCCCUAAACGAUGUCAACUAGCUGUUGGGGCCUUCGGGCCUUGGUAGCGCAGCUAACGCGUGAAGUUGACCGCCUGGGGAGUACGGUCGCAAGAUUAAAACUUAAAUGAAUUGACGGGGGUCAUAGCUG
Molecule: ribosomal RNA, 580 nt
Filed under: uncultured bacterium
Lineage: Bacteria
Description: partial 16S ribosomal RNA
Rfam family: Bacterial small subunit ribosomal RNA
Source: RNAcentral